GCGUUGUUAGCUCAGCCUUUUUUUUUUGGACAGAGCAAUUGCCUUCUAAGCAAUCGGUCAGUGGUUCGACUCCACUACAACGCGCCA
Molecule: transfer RNA, 87 nt
Filed under: Escherichia coli SHECO001
Lineage: Bacteria; Pseudomonadati; Pseudomonadota; Gammaproteobacteria; Enterobacterales; Enterobacteriaceae
Description: tRNA-Arg
Rfam family: tRNA
About the family: Transfer RNA (tRNA) molecules are approximately 80 nucleotides in length.
Source: RNAcentral